Molecule: ribosomal RNA, 668 nt
Filed under: Stramonita brasiliensis
Lineage: Eukaryota; Metazoa; Mollusca; Gastropoda; Neogastropoda; Muricidae
Description: partial 16S ribosomal RNA
Rfam family: Bacterial large subunit ribosomal RNA (bases 1-510)
Source: RNAcentral
GACCGUGCAAAGGUAGCAUAAUCAUUUGCCUUAUAAUUGAAGGCUAGUAUGAAUGGUUUGACGAGAAUUAAGCUGUCUCUUUUCAAUUAAAUAUAAUUUUAUAUGCAGGUGAAGAAGCCUGCAUUUUAUUGAAAGACAAGAAGACCCUAUCGAGCUUUAAAGAAUUUAUAAGACCUACUGAGUAUUUAUAAAUAAAUAGGACUAAUAAAAACUUUGGUUGGGGCGACUGAGGAACAAAUAAAGCUUCCUUUAAACUAAAAAAACUUACUGGUAUUGAUCCAAUAUAUUUGAUUAAAGGAAUUAGUUACCGUAGGGAUAACAGCAUAAUCCUCUUUGAGAGUUCUUAUCGAAAAGGGGGUUUGUGACCUCGAUGUUGGACCAGAAUACCCAGAAGAUGCAGCCGUCUUCAAUGGUUGGUCUGUUCGACCAUUAAAAUUCUACGUGAUCUGAGUUCAGACCGGCGUGAGCCAGGUCAGUUUCUAUCUUCAAUUUAUAGGGUGGCCUUAGUACGAAAGGACCAGGCUACUGCAAGUUUUGUAGUAAUACGAUUAAAUAUAAAGAAAAAUUAAAUAAAUAAAGAUCAAAUUAGCAAAGACGAAUGCAAUUGACUUAGGAUCAAUAGACAUAGGUGAAAUCCCUUUAUUUGAUAAAUAAAGAUGGCAGAAGAA